GACAGAGGGUGCGAACGUUGCUCGGAAUUACUGGGCGUAAAGCGCGUGUAGGCGGGUGAUCAAGUCGGGUGUGAAAUCCCCAGGCUCAACCUGGGAACUGCAUUCGAAACUGGUCGCCUUGAGUGCUGGAGAGGGAAGCGGAAUUCCUGGUGUAGAGGUGAAAUUCGUAGAUAUCAGGAGGAACACCGGUGGCGAAGGCGGCUUCCUGGACAGUUACUGACGCUGAGACGCGAAAGCGUGGGGAGCAAACAGGAUUAGAUACCCCAGUAGUCC
RNAcentral lists this ribosomal RNA (273 nucleotides) under uncultured bacterium. Its description in RNAcentral is "partial 16S ribosomal RNA". It matches the Rfam family "Bacterial small subunit ribosomal RNA", at positions 524 to 796 of the family's 1533-position model. The record is from RNAcentral.